AACGAACGCUGGCGGCAUGCCUAACACAUGCAAGUCGAACGGCACCUUCGGAUCUAGUGGCUCACACGUGCGUCACGCGUGGGACCCUGCCCUUAGGCUCGGAAUUCCACCUCGUAAGGGGUGCUAAUACCGGGUAAUGUCUUCGGAUCAAACAUUUAUCCCCUUUGGAUGGGCCGGAGUUGUAUUAGCUUGUGGGUAGGGUAAAAGCCUACCAAGGCGUCGAUCCAUAGCUGGUCUGAGAGGAUGGUCAGCCACACUGGGACUGAGACACGGCCCGGACUACUACAGGAGGCAGCAGUGGGGAAUACAGGAAAAUCGGCGAAAGCAAGAACCAGCAAGGCCUCGAGAGUGAUUAAGGCCGGAGGGAAGAAAAGCACGUUUACACGGGAUGAUAAUGACAGUACCGAAAGAAUAAGCUCCGGCUAACUUCGUG
RNAcentral lists this ribosomal RNA (433 nucleotides) under uncultured bacterium. Its description in RNAcentral is "partial 16S ribosomal RNA". It matches the Rfam family "Bacterial small subunit ribosomal RNA", at positions 29 to 507 of the family's 1533-position model. The record is from RNAcentral.